AAAAGAAUUCUCAUCUCCCUUGUACAAUCGGAUGACUGGUUUUCAAGUGAGUGUGGGUGGUAAAACAUCUGGAGAUCAUCGAAACACAAAAUAUUGGUGUAUUUAAUUAUAUGACACAAAUCAGGACUAUUUAGUCCUAAUUUGAUUGACAAAACCAUCUUACAUGUAUGCAAAUAAAAAGUAGUAGAGAUAUCUACUCCCCAGUUCUCGCCUCAGUCUAUGCCCAAAGUAGGGUUACUUAAGCUCUUUAUUCACUGUAGUAGCCAGGAUUCUCCAGAGAAACAGAACCAAUAAGAGAGAGGUUUAUUUUAAGGAAUUGGUUCAUUUUUGUAGAGGCUGGCAAGUCCAAAAUCUGUAGGGCAGGCUUGAAGGCUGAAGACCCAGCAAAGAGUUGAUGUUGUGACUUCAGAGCCUGAAGGCAGUCUGCUGGCAGAAUUCUCUCUUCCUCAGGGGAUGUCAGACUUUUUCUUAAGGCCCUCAAGUGACUGGAUGAAGCCCACCCACAUUAUGGAGGGUGAUCUGCUUUACUCAAAAUCUGUUGAUUUAAGUGUUAAUCUCAUCUGAAAAAUUCCUUCAUAGCAACCAGACCAAGUUUAACCAAAUAUCUGGAUACCACGGCCUAGCCAAGUUGACACAAAAUUAACCAUCCCGCUCACCAACUUACAAACCACAGCAGCAAAUGGGAAACAGUUUCCCCUCCCUUUCCUGUCAGUUUUCCAGGAAUUUCCUAAGGCUAUGAAUGUCCAAGGUGAUGCUGGGUGUGCCGUAUUAGGGAAACACCAUUCCAUGUGAUGGCAGGACCAGUGGACAGCAUCUCUGAAGCACUGAGGGAGGAGGCCCAACUGGGACGGCUUACCUGGACCAGGCAGCCCUGGGACCCACAAGAAGGCUUUUCUACUAUUCGCCUUUUGUUCAAAAGUGACCCUGAAAGAUGAGUCAAAACUUCCAUACCUGCUUUCCAUAUGGAGAAGCUGGGCGCCCAGAAAGGUUAAACAGAUUUGCCACUUAUGCAACAAAGGAACUCUGGGUUCUCACGUGGUUGUGUAAGUCUAGUCAAAAUGGAAAUGAAACUUCUGCUUCCUUAUCUUUCCUGUUUGUUUAAAAUGAAGUCCUUUGCACUUAUCAGUUCCUAGGAGAUUGUUUUUCGCCACAUGUAAAUUUGAAAUCCCCUCUAAUCAGAACCAACUUUCUCCAGGACGCCCCAGUCAUGGAUUAUGAGGAGCCACUUCUUAGGCCUCUCUUUCCGGACACAAACACAGCGAUCUUCCAGCUGAGCAGAUCACUGUUGAGGAAUUUCAUCAGCACUGUUCAGGGGUUUAGAGAGUGGUCCCUUUAGUUGCUGGCUCUGGAGUAUAUUGUCUUUGAAACCCAUACAUUCAGGUUUUUUUCUUAGUAAAGCUGUUUGGACAUAUUUACCUUCAGAGUUUCCUUAUUUACUUUUAGGUUCCAAAAUGUUUUGAUCACC
This 1465-nucleotide long non-coding RNA is filed under the name Equus asinus (donkey). RNAcentral describes it as "lncRNA (ENSEASG00005028499.1)". Lineage: Eukaryota; Metazoa; Chordata; Mammalia; Perissodactyla; Equidae. The record is from RNAcentral.